This is a long non-coding RNA of Amphiprion ocellaris (clown anemonefish), 438 nucleotides long. The record is from Ensembl. NCBI's taxonomy places the organism in Eukaryota, Metazoa, Chordata, Actinopteri, Pomacentridae.
GUAAAAAUGAAACUGAUGAUUCUUUGAACCAAAUGAGGUUUCAGACGGUUAAAAGCAGCAGCUGGCAAGUGCACCACAGUGCUACCAGCUGAACACCCAGCAGCUUUCUGAGACAACACACAGCAGAGCAGGUUAUGAAGUAACAGAUGGGUGUCCAUGCGUCUCUGAUUCUUUGAGGUGUGGAUUAGUGGGAGUGUUGAGUCAGGCCCAGGCGAGGGCCCAGGAGGUCAGCCCAGAGAGAGGCCCACGUAAGCAGGCUCCAGUGCUGCUGAAUGGGCCGAUAAUGGCCUGGAUCAGAAGGAAUGUGUUCAUGGAGCCUUGCUACUGACAGCCGGCCCCUGGGGACAAGAAUUACUCUGACUGAUACAAAAAGAAGAUGACAAAAACAGUGCCACAGGCACUGUCUCUCUGGACUCCUUGUCUCCACUACAGCUAAAU